RNAcentral lists this ribosomal RNA (361 nucleotides) under uncultured bacterium. RNAcentral describes it as "bacterial SSU rRNA". It matches the Rfam family "Bacterial small subunit ribosomal RNA", at positions 28 to 400 of the family's 1533-position model. The record is from RNAcentral.
GACGAACGCUGGCGGCGUGCUUAACACAUGCAAGUCACGGGGGCCCGCAAGGGCAACCGGCGAACGGGUGCGUAACACGUGAGCAACUUACCGAUUUGUGGGGGAUAGCCUGCCUAACGGCAGGGUAAUACCGCAUACGCUCAUUGAGGGGAGUCCCUCGAUGAGGAAACCUCCGGGGCAAAUCGAGGGGCUCGCGGCCUAUCAGCUAGUUGGUGCGGGUAAUGGCCCACCAAGGCGANGACGGUAGCUGGUCUGAGAGGAUGGCCAGCCACAUUGGGACUGAGAAACGGCCCAGACUCCUACGGGAGGCAGCAGUGGGGAAUCUUGCGCAAUGGACGAAAGUCUGACGCAGCGACGCCGC